UUUUUUUCCACCAAGAACGUUUUCUGAAACUUUUUGACCCCCGAAUUUGGAGUAUCCUGCUUUCGGGUUCACC
Molecule: transfer RNA, 73 nt
Filed under: Corydalis trisecta
Lineage: Eukaryota; Viridiplantae; Streptophyta; Magnoliopsida; Ranunculales; Papaveraceae
Description: tRNA-Gln
Source: RNAcentral